This 253-nucleotide unclassified non-coding RNA is filed under the name uncultured Enterobacteriaceae bacterium. RNAcentral's name for it is "contains 16S-23S intergenic spacer region". It matches the Rfam family "Bacterial small subunit ribosomal RNA", at positions 524 to 776 of the family's 1533-position model. The record is from RNAcentral. Lineage: Bacteria; Pseudomonadati; Pseudomonadota; Gammaproteobacteria; Enterobacterales; Enterobacteriaceae.
UACGGAGGGGGCUAGCGUUGUUCGGAAUUACUGGGCGUAAAGCGCACGCAGGCGGUCUGUCAAGUCGGAUGUGAAAUCCCCGGGCUCAACCUGGGAACUGCAUCCGAAACUGGCAGGCUAGAGUGUGUCAGAGGGGGGUAGAAUUCCACGUGUAGCAGUGAAAUGCGUAGAUAUGUGGAGGAAUACCGGUGGCGAAGGCGGCCCCCUGGACAAAGACUGACGCUCAGGUGCGAAAGCGUGGGGAGCAAACAGG